GACGAACGCUGGCGGCGUGCUUAACACAUGCAAGUCGAACGGAAAGGCCCUGCUUUUGUGGGGUGCUCGAGUGGCGAACGGGUGAGUAACACGUGAGUAACCUGCCCUUGACUUUGGGAUAACUUCAGGAAACUGGGGCUAAUACCGGAUAGGAGCUCCUGCUGCAUGGUGGUGGUUGGAAAGUUUCGGCGGUUGGGGAUGGACUCGCGGCUUAUCAGCUUGUUGGUGGGGUAGUGGCCUACCAAGGCUUUGACGGGUAGCCGGCCUGAGAGGGUGACCGGCCACAUUGGGACUGAGAUACGGCCCAGACUCCUACGGGAGGCAGCAGUGGGGAAUAUUGCACAAUGGGCGGAAGCCUGAUGCAGCAACGCCGCGUGCGGGAUGACGGCCUUCGGGUUGUAAACCGCUUUCGCCUGUGACGAAGCGUGAGUGACGGUAAUGGGUAAAGAAGCACCGGCUAACUACGUG
RNAcentral lists this ribosomal RNA (468 nucleotides) under uncultured bacterium. Its description in RNAcentral is "partial 16S ribosomal RNA". It matches the Rfam family "Bacterial small subunit ribosomal RNA", at positions 28 to 507 of the family's 1533-position model. The record is from RNAcentral.